Molecule: ribosomal RNA, 468 nt
Filed under: uncultured bacterium
Lineage: Bacteria
Description: partial 16S ribosomal RNA
Rfam family: Bacterial small subunit ribosomal RNA
Source: RNAcentral
GACGAACGCUGGCGGCGUGCUUAACACAUGCAAGUCGAACGGAAAGGCCCUGCUUUUGUGGGGUGCUCGAGUGGCGAACGGGUGAGUAACACGUGAGUAACCUGCCCUUGACUUUGGGAUAACUUCAGGAAACUGGGGCUAAUACCGGAUAGGAGCUCCUGCUGCAUGGUGGGGGUUGGAGAGUUUCGGCGGUUGGGGAUGGACUCGCGGCUUAUCAGCUUGUUGGUGGGGUAGUGGCUUACCAAGGCUUUGACGGGUAGCCGGCCUGAGAGGGUGGCCGGCCAACUUGGGACUGAGGUACGGCCCAGACUCCUACGGGGGGGAGCAGUGGGGAAUAUUGCACAAUGGGCGGAAGCCUGAUGCAGCAACGCCGCGUGCGGGAUGACGGCCUUCGGGUUGUAAACCGCUUUCGCCUGUGACGAAGCGUGAGUGACGGUAAUGGGUAAAGAAGCCCCGGCUAACUACGUG